GGGAGUCAAAACAACAUUGGAGUUUCCGGUAUGAUAGGGGGUACUAAGACCCAUUUCAGCUAUGAAGAGGUGAUGGAAAUGACAAACGGUUUUUCUCGUCAAAAUAUUGUGGGUGAGGGUGGGUUUGGAUGUGUUUACAAGGGGCAAGUACAGGACGGUAGAGCAGUGGCUGUCAAGCAGCUUAAGAUAGGUAGUGGACAGGGCGACCGAGAAUUUAAGGCUGAAGUUGAGAUAAUUAGUCGGGUUCAUCAUCGGCAUUUGGUCUCAUUAGUGGGCUAUUGCAUCUGUGAUCAUCAACGUUUGCUUCUCUAUGAAUAUGUUCCAAACAAAACUCUCGAGCAUCAUUUGCAUGCAAAAGGAAUGCCUGUGUUGGAUUGGCCUAAAAGACUCAAAAUCGCUAUAGGUGCUGCAAAGGGCUUGGCGUAUUUACACGAAGAUUGUAAUCCGA
Molecule: unclassified non-coding RNA, 448 nt
Filed under: Hevea brasiliensis (rubber tree)
Lineage: Eukaryota; Viridiplantae; Streptophyta; Magnoliopsida; Malpighiales; Euphorbiaceae
Source: RNAcentral